This 482-nucleotide ribosomal RNA is filed under the name uncultured bacterium. RNAcentral's name for it is "partial 16S ribosomal RNA". It matches the Rfam family "Bacterial small subunit ribosomal RNA", at positions 30 to 507 of the family's 1533-position model. The record is from RNAcentral.
AUUGAACGCUGGCGGCAUGCUUUACACAUGCAAGUCGAACGGUAACAGGCCGCAAGGUGCUGACGAGUGGCGAACGGGUGAGUAAUGCAUCGGAACGUGCCCAGUCGUGGGGGAUAACUACUCGAAAGAGUAGCUAAUACCGCAUACGAUCUAUGGAUGAAAGCGGGGGACCGUAAGGCCUCGCGCGAUUGGAGCGGCCGAUGUCAGAUUAGGUAGUUGGUGGGGUAAAGGCUCACCAAGCCAACGAUCUGUAGCUGGUCUGAGAGGACGACCAGCCACACUGGGACUGAGACACGGCCCAGACUCCUACGGGAGGCAGCAGUGGGGAAUUUUGGACAAUGGGCGCAAGCCUGAUCCAGCAAUGCCGCGUGCAGGAAGAAGGCCUUCGGGUUGUAAACUGCUUUUGUACGGAACGAAACGGCCCUGGUUAAUACCCGGGGCUAAUGACGGUACCGUAAGAAUAAGCACCGGCUAACUACGUG